RNAcentral lists this ribosomal RNA (453 nucleotides) under Selenomonas sputigena. RNAcentral's name for it is "bacterial SSU rRNA". It matches the Rfam family "Bacterial small subunit ribosomal RNA", at positions 28 to 466 of the family's 1533-position model. Lineage: Bacteria; Bacillati; Bacillota; Negativicutes; Selenomonadales; Selenomonadaceae. The record is from RNAcentral.
GACGAACGCUGGCGGCGUGCUUAACACAUGCAAGUCGAACGGGAACCUUUAUUUCGGUAAAGGUGAGAGUGGCAAACGGGUGAGUAACACGUAGGCAACCUGCCGACAGGAUGGGGACAACAUUCCGAAAGGAAUGCUAAUACCGAAUGGAGUCCGGAGAUGGCAUCAUCUCUGGAUAAAAGAUGGCCUCUGAAUAUGCUAUCGCCUGUCGAUGGGCCUGCGUCUGAUUAGCCAGUUGGCGGGGUAACGGCCCACCAAAGCGACGAUCAGUAGCCGGUCUGAGAGGAUGAACGGCCACAUUGGGACUGAGACACGGCCCAGACUCCUACGGGAGGCAGCAGUGGGGAAUCUUCCACAAUGGGCGAAAGCCUGAUGGAGCAACGCCGCGUGAGUGAAGAAGGUCUUCGGAUCGUAAAGCUCUGUUGCACGGGACGAAAACCGAGCUUGAGAAUA